AUGGAGACAAGACUGGCACACUAUAAAAGCCAAUCCGACGAGCCUGACUUGAUGUUCAUUUUCGACAGAUACAGAAGCACAUACGCUUCUUACAGAUUUCUUUUUGAUUUUUUGGUUUCUAUAACAAGAAAGAAACAGAUUCAUAGUCCCCAAAUCAAGAAUCAAGAAUCAGCACCACCGCCACCAUUACUACCACUUCAUAACCAUGACCACUGACGACCACCACGCUUUCAAGUUCCUCCCCAAGCGGAUUAUCCUUGUCCGCCAUGGCGAGUCAAUGGGCAACAUAGACACCGCCGCCUAUGUAACCACCCCUGACAACAAAAUCCCAUUAACCUCAUUGGGUCUAGACCAGGCCCGUGUCGCUGGGACUCAUUUGCGCAAUCUAAUUUCCGAUCACGGAAACUGCACCACCAACUGGCGGGUCUACUUCUAUGUCUCCCCCUACCAGCGUACCCGAUCCACUCUCCGGGAGAUCGGACGGUCGUUUGAGAGACAGAGGAUUAUUGGAGUUAGAGAGGAGUGUAGGAUUAGAGAGCAAGAUUUUGGGAAUUUUCAGAUCGAGGAGAGGAUGAAGGUGAUUAAAGAGACCAGAGAGAGGUUUGGGAGGUUCUUUUAUCGGUUCCCUGAAGGAGAAUCUGCUGCUGAUGUUUUUGACCGCGUUUCAAGUUUUCUUGAAUCUCUCUGGAGGGACAUAGACAUGAACAGGCUUCACAAGGAGCCUUAUCGUGACCUAAAUCUCAUAAUUGUAUCGCAUGGAUUAACUUGUCGUGUAUUCCUAAUGAAGUGGUUCAAGUGGACAGUGGAACAAUUUGAGCACCUAAAUAAUCUUGGGAACUGUGAGUUUCGAGUGAUGGAAUUAGGAGAAGGUGGGGAAUACAGCUUAGCAAUUCAUCACACAGAUGAAGAAAUGCAAGAAUGGGGAAUGUCUCCUGAAAUGAUUGCUGACCAGAAGUGGCGAAUCCAUGCCCACAGGGGUGAUUGGAAUGACAACUGUCCCUGGUACUUCGAUGCAUUUUUUGAUCAUCUAAAGACAGAUGUGGAUAAAGAAAGUGAUGACAAAGCAGAUGAUUCUUCAACUACAUGUGAAUAAGCUACACAGAAAUCAGAUGCGAAAUUCUUUUGAUUUAAUCUGUACCAAUUUCAUUUAUUGACCUGUGUUUAGUUGAUACCUUACUAGAAAAACACAUGGAAACCGUAGUUUUAAACUGAGCAAACAGAGGCUUGUAGUUGUAGCCUGCACUGCAAGAUUAUUUAGGUGGUAGAUUGUAAGUACUUUCUUGGAAAGAUCUACUUCUGAAUGCAUGAUCGGCUGCUAUCUGCAAAAUGUAAACACAAAUGUUGAAACUUCAAAGCAUUACAAUUUCGUGGUCAUGGUGAAUUUGUUCCAUGUAUUGUGUGAUUGUUGGUCGUCUGAUUUUUGGUAGAAAGACGUCUUUUAUCU
This 1444-nucleotide unclassified non-coding RNA is filed under the name Hevea brasiliensis (rubber tree). The record is from RNAcentral. Lineage: Eukaryota; Viridiplantae; Streptophyta; Magnoliopsida; Malpighiales; Euphorbiaceae.